CGGGUGCUGCCCUUCUCGUGAACGGUUGCAUUCCGGUGGCCUUAAGCAAUUCCGAGGGAGCUGGCUCUGUCCGGAUCCUGGUCCGGUUACCUGGCGCCCACCUGUAAAAACAGGUCCUCGGGAAUUCGUUGCCUCAACGGUUGCGUGCGGUCCCCGC
Molecule: non-coding RNA, 157 nt
Filed under: Roseovarius sp.
Lineage: Bacteria; Pseudomonadati; Pseudomonadota; Alphaproteobacteria; Rhodobacterales; Roseobacteraceae
Description: 6S RNA
Rfam family: 6S / SsrS RNA
About the family: E. coli 6S RNA was the first non coding RNA to be sequenced, but its function was unknown until recently.
Source: RNAcentral